CCCUUAGAGUUUGAUCCUGGCUCAGGAUGAACGCUAGCUACAGGCUUAACACAUGCAAGUCGAGGGGAAACGACAUCGAAAGCUUGCUUUUGAUGGGCGUCGACCGGCGCACGGGUGAGUAACGCGUAUCCAACCUGCCCACCACUUGGGGAUAACCUUGCGAAAGUAAGACUAAUACCCAAUGACGUCUCUAGAAGACAUCUGAAAGGGAUUAAAGAUUUAUCGGUGAUGGAUGGGGAUGCGUCUGAUUAGCUUGUUGGCGGGGUAACGGCCCACCAAGGCUACGAUCAGUAGGGGUUCUGAGAGGAAGGUCCCCCACAUUGGAACUGAGACACGGUCCAAACUCCUACGGGAGGCAGCAGUGAGGAAUAUUGGUCAAUGGACGAGAGUCUGAACCAGCCAAGUAGCGUGCAGGAUGACGGCCCUAUGGGUUGUAAACUGCUUUUAUAAGGGAAUAAAGUGAGUCUCGUGAGACUUUUUGCAUGUACCUUAUGAAUAAGGACCGGCUAAUUCCGUGCCAGCAGCCGCGGUAAUACGGAAGGUCCGGGCGUUAUCCGGAUUUAUUGGGUUUAAAGGGAGCGUAGGCCGGAGAUUAAGCGUGUUGUGAAAUGUAGAUGCUCAACGUCUGCACUGCAGCGCGAACUGGUUUCCUUGAGUACGCACAAAGUGGGCGGAAUUCGUGGUGUAGCGGUGAAAUGCUUAGAUAUCACGAAGAACUCCGAUUGCGAAGGCAGCUCACUGGAGCGCAACUGACGCUGAAGCUCGAAAGUGCGGGUAUCGAACAGGAUUAGAUACCCUGGUAGUCCGCACGGUAAACGAUGGAUGCCCGCUGUUGGUCUGAAUAGGUCAGCGGCCAAGCGAAAGCAUUAAGCAUCCCACCUGGGGAGUACGCCGGCAACGGUGA
RNAcentral lists this ribosomal RNA (904 nucleotides) under uncultured bacterium. Its description in RNAcentral is "bacterial SSU rRNA". It matches the Rfam family "Bacterial small subunit ribosomal RNA", at positions 1 to 897 of the family's 1533-position model. The record is from RNAcentral.